CAUUAGUUUUGGGUGAUUUGGAAUUGUUAUGACUUUGUAAGAGCUUUACAAAGCCAAGAUUGUUUUCAGAUGACUUAGAUUUUGUGAAAUAAAAUAGGGUUGAAGUUUCUAGUGAUUUCAAGAUUUUUGUAACAGAUCUAUAGGUGAAAUUUUGAAGGUUAAUGGUCAUAGGUGUGCUUAAUAUUUGUUGUAAAUAUUAGCUUGAUUUAACGAUUGAAUUGAGGAUUAUUGAGGUUUAAGUGAGUCAAAGUCUCAGAAAGUAGAAUUUUAGGUCUAGUGAGCAUUUUUAAGAUUUCUUGCAAUCUACUAGUUGGAUUGGAGUGAAAUUUGUGUGAAAGGAUAUUAGACUUGUUUUUCUAUAUGUAUAAGAAUUUUGAAAUCAAUCAAAUAGUGGAAAGAAGAGAUAUUGGCUCUGAAAGAUAUUGGCAUUAAGGUUGAAGAAGGAGGCUGGCCAAUAUCGGAGCACGUUUUUGAAGUUAUCGUCUAUUUGGUAAUUUUGAUCAUUUCUAAAAAUUUUGUGCUUGUUUUCAACUUAGUUUUUAGGAAGUGUGAAAAAUUUGAGUUAAGAUCGAUAGUUCAUUCAUUAGUUAUUGAGGUUUAAUUCUAUUAUAGAAAUUACUACGAUUUGAUUAGGAUUUGAUUUAGGGUUAGGAUUAGGAUUAGGAUUUGAUUAGGAUUAGGAUUAGAAUUUGGUUAGGAUUUGAUUUAGGAUUAGGGUUUGUUUUAGGAUUUAAGAUUUGAUUAGGAUUUGAUUUAGGAUUAGGGUUUAAUUCAGGAUUUAGAAUUUGGUUAGGAUUUGAUUUAGGAUUAGGAUUUGGUUUAGGAUUUAGGAUUUGGUUUAAGAGUGGUUAGGAUUUGAUUUAGGAUUGGAAUUUGAUUAGGGUUUGAUUUAGGAUUAGGAUUUGAUUAGGAUUUGGUUAGGGUUUGAUUUAGGAUUAGGAUUUGGUUUAGGAUUUAGGAUUUGAUUAGGAUUUUAUUUAGGAUUAGGAUUUGGUUUAGGAUUUAGGAUUUGAUUAGGAUUUUAUUUAGGAUUAGGAUUUAAUUUAAGAUUUAGGAUUUGAUUUAGAGGUGGUUAGGAUUUGAUUAGGGUUUGAUUUAAGAUUAGGAUUUGGUUAGGUUUUGGUUAGGAUUUGAAUUAAGAUUAGGAUUUGAUUUAAGAUUUAUGAUUUGGUUAGGAUUUGAUUUAGGAUUUAGGAGUUGGUUAGGAUUUCAUUUAGAGUUUAGGAUUUGGUUUAGGAUUUAGGAUUUAAUCAAGUUUUAACUAGGAUUAAAUUAAGAUUGAAUUGAGAUGUAUUUGAGAUAUGUUUGUAAUCAUUUUAAUAUUUUUUAAAGAUUACUUAUUGUUUCUUUGGAAUUCCUUUGAGGUUUCUUUGAAUUUGAUUAAAGCUUGUUUAGCAUUAUUAGUGUUGUAUUAGAAUUAGGAUUUUGUUGUUACAAUUUCCAUUCUACCUUCCACAACCAGGUGCCCGGAGCAUUCUCAAGCAUGACUUCACGUAUUACGACAAUGUAGCUCUUA
Molecule: long non-coding RNA, 1516 nt
Filed under: Physcomitrium patens
Lineage: Eukaryota; Viridiplantae; Streptophyta; Bryopsida; Funariales; Funariaceae
Description: long non-coding RNA (PPAT_LNC000475)
Source: RNAcentral